This 166-nucleotide unclassified non-coding RNA is filed under the name uncultured Inocybaceae. RNAcentral's name for it is "sequence contains ITS2". Lineage: Eukaryota; Fungi; Basidiomycota; Agaricomycetes; Agaricales. The record is from RNAcentral.
AACUUAUCAACCACGACGUGGCUUGGAUUGUGGGGGGCUCCUGCUGGCUUAAAAUUUUAGGUCGGCUCCCCUGAAAUGAAUUAGUGGCGUCUGAGCUGCUACCAUGGGUGUGAUAAAUAUCUAUGCCUCUGGAGCAGAUUGUGCUGCCUCCCAAUAUAUUUGACAG